Cordylochernes scorpioides is the source of this 73-nucleotide non-coding RNA. The record is from the annotation of a GenBank genome assembly. NCBI's taxonomy places the organism in Eukaryota, Metazoa, Arthropoda, Arachnida, Pseudoscorpiones, Chernetidae.
GUCCAGGAGCGGGAAUCGAACCCACAACCUUCUGCUUACCGGGCAGGUGCCAUGUCCACUACGCUAUCCUGGA